CUGCCCUUCCAUCCCUUGGAUAGAUAGAGAAGGAGGGCAGAGCUUUUGGUUUUUUCAUGUUGUCAAAGAGUUGAACAAUGGUUUUUCGUGUUGUCAAAGAGUUGAACAAUGAAAAUAGAUGGCGAGUGCCUGAUCGAAUUGAUCAGGUCAUGUAGGAACAAGGUUCAAGUCUACCGGUCUGUUAGGAUGCCUCAGCUGCAUACAUCACUGCACUUCCACUUGACACCUAUCGUAAUGAUAAACGGCUCGUCUCGCCGUGACCUUC
Molecule: ribosomal RNA, 265 nt
Filed under: Clerodendrum bungei
Lineage: Eukaryota; Viridiplantae; Streptophyta; Magnoliopsida; Lamiales; Lamiaceae
Also listed under: 1 other name
Description: 4.5S ribosomal RNA
Source: RNAcentral